GGGGCUGUGGCUUAGUGGCAGAGCAUCUGCUUGACAAGCAAAAGGUCCCAGGUUCGAUCCCUGGAACCUCCA
Heteronotia binoei (common prickly gecko) is the source of this 72-nucleotide non-coding RNA. The record is from the annotation of a RefSeq genome assembly. Lineage: Eukaryota; Metazoa; Chordata; Lepidosauria; Squamata; Gekkonidae.